CUUUUCUUGUUAGUUUUUGAAGUAUGGCCUGCCCGCUGACUUGAAGUGUUGAAGGGCCGCGGUAUUUUGACCGUGCAAAGGUAGCAUAAUCAUUAGUUCUUUAAUUGUGAUCUGGAAUGAAUGGCUUGACGAGACACGAGCUGUCUUAAGUUGUGAAUAUUUUAUUGAAUUUGGUUUUUGAGUUAAAAUUCUUAGAUGUUUUUAUGGGACGAGAAGACCCUAUAGAGUUUAACAUUUGGUCUAUUUUCCUUAUUGUUUGUUUUUUUAAUUGAGUGGGCUUAUAUGUUUUGUUGGGGCGAUGAGAGGGAUAUAGUUUAACCCCUCUUUAUUUUGGUUAUAUUAAUUUAUAGUUGCUUGAUCCAUUGAUUUUGAUUAUAAGAUUAAAUUACC
This 390-nucleotide ribosomal RNA is filed under the name Heterotermes cardini. RNAcentral's name for it is "partial 16S ribosomal RNA". Lineage: Eukaryota; Metazoa; Arthropoda; Insecta; Blattodea; Rhinotermitidae. The record is from RNAcentral.